This is an RNA transcript of Podarcis raffonei (Aeolian wall lizard), 3456 nucleotides long. It is a transcript of the gene named transmembrane protein 200C-like, with no coding region annotated. The transcript has 5 exons. The record is from RefSeq and is a predicted model, not a curated record. NCBI's taxonomy places the organism in Eukaryota, Metazoa, Chordata, Lepidosauria, Squamata, Lacertidae.
GAGGCAGCGGAGGCGGGGCUAGUUUAAAAAUAGUUGGGUUGCGCAGGAUGCUGAGGGAGAGGCGGCAGCGCGGACGCUGUUCUUGGGGACCUAAAAGGUCGAAAAGGGAAACGGCAGCCAGGCUCAGGGACAGCUGUGCCUGCGAACCAGCUCCACAUCUAUAUGUAUCUUCCUUAUAUUGCUUUACUGCAACCCCUCCCCCCUCCACGCACUCAUUGGACACUGAGGCAGGACUGGCGUGCGUGUGUGCUCCCAACAGAAACUGACCCUUUCUCCUCCGCCGUUACCUGUAGAUCGAAGCUCAGUGUUAUUAUUAUGUCCUCUUCCGAGGGAGCAAAAGCAGGGCAGCAACACCCGUCAUGUCCCCCUCAAGCAAAUCACUCCUUCGCUCAGUCCGUUUACCUCACACCGGCCAUUCCAUUUCCCAGCCAUAAGCCCCCUUUUCCUUCCCGCAUUAUGCUGUGCCUUCCACACGUUGACAUAAUAGUUAACGACACUCCACUCCUCCCCAUCAUUUUAGGAGGAAAUUGCCUCACAAAUUCACUUCUCUGAUGAGAGCUAGAAAUCCCCUCAGCCUUCGCGCAACCCACAUUUCUCUGGGACCCAAGUCCCCUCAAGUCCGCAUAAUUCACCUUGCCUUGCUCCGGUGGAAGGGCCAAAAUCAGUGCUAAAGCUGCACAUUCAGAAGGUCCUGGGUCCAGCCUCUUUCAUCUCCAGACCUCCCAGCGAUGUACCUCAUGCUCGCCUCCAAGGAUUUAAUUGUUCUUAUCUGCCAUUUCUAUGGGAGGAUUUGAACAAAGCCAGGAACCAUAUACGCCAGUUAAGUAUCACCAAUGGUUUUGAAUAUCAGCUGAGUUACACUUUGAGCUUUAAUAAAUCUUGUAUUUUCUCUGUGAUUCUUCCCUCCUUUGUCAGACUUCAGGAAGUCUGACUUUUCUCAGUAGUGGUUCUAUUUCCACAGGUACAGAUGCCUUUAGUGCUACUCUUACAUGUUUUUAAAAAGGGUAGAGUAUUGACAUGGGCAGUGACAUAUCAGAAAAGUGAACCUAUUGCAACUCAGCACAUAUUCAUUAUAAUUAUUACAGUGAAUAUCAUGUUUGUCCCUAUUUUUUGUUUAUUUCAGUCAAUUUUAUGGUUAAUGAAACAUAACAGGAUGUGUACACAGAACAAGUGCAAUACUCCUGAUAGUAUGGCAAGUCAAUUGGACUUCCCCUUGUAGCUUAGGAGCUCCCCAUCUGGCAGCAGCCUAAGUCUCAAUUAUUUCAAUGGGAGAGACAGAUUAAUUCUCUCCCUGAAAUCAAUGGAACCUAGCCUAGUUUUGUUCUAUGUGUUCUAAAAGUAGCCAUAAAAUAGUUCCUUGAUGGUUUGAGUUGUCAUUUGAUGUCAUAUCCACUGUCAAAUGCAUAACAACUACAGAAACAUUUCACAUUAGCUGGGGAAAGAAUCACAUUUUCCCAAUGGCAUUAUAUAGCAGUUUGAGCAUUGGGAAUAUGUGACAUUUCCACAAGAAAAGUGUUUUCUUGAAAGAACUGUACCUUUGCUGCUUGGUUGUCUGGAAAGCUCCUUGAUUUCUUGCUAUAUUUCAUGCCCGUGUAAUAUGCUUCCUCUCUUUAUUUCCUUGCACAGAGUCAACUGACUCCACUCAAAAGCCAUUAAGCUCAAUCAACCCUUUUUGUUACAAAUGCCAUCAGGAAUGCUGCCGCCAGCAGCAGGUUACAGGAGAAUGGAUGCGCUUGCAUUUCUGUGCUCCCAGCACAUUUACAGGAGGCUGCAGUGAGGUUUGCUGCAGAGGACACCGCUGGGUAUUGUAUGUUACUGAGGGCUGUGAGAUAUAGCGAGGAGAACUAAAUAACCAAGUACCUGAAUGCACUUUCUUUUCUGUGUCUAUUUUCUAUCCUCUCAAACUCCUCAGAUGCCAAAACCAUCCCACUGUCUGUCUGAUUGUCCUGCAAGGGAGCAGAAAAAAAAAGUGUUAGAAGUGCCAGCCUUGUUGAGCAAGCAUUCUGAAUUUUUUUGUGCCAGGAACCUUUCCUCUGAUGGAUGGAGACGGAAAAGCAAAUGUAGGGCAGGGAACAGCUGCAGAUGAUGAGCUGAGUGGAGCUUAACUCAGCCUUGUAAAUAUGCCUGUAAAACUUAGAAGCCUGUACAAAUUUUUAUAAGCAUGUUAUAGAGCAUGUUGAAUUUUUCAACUUUCAAAAAUGAGGGGUGCUAAAAAAUUGUAACACAACUUCGGAAUUCAAAAGAUCUUUUGGUUAAAUUAAUAUAAUUAAGUUUUGCUUGGUAAGUAAAAUGUGUGCAAAAUUGCAUAAAAUCAUUAAAAAUGAUUGCCAAGUACUUCUAGUUAUAUUAUAUAUUAGUAUUUAUUAUCAUUAGCUAUUAUUAGUUGCUGUUGUUUUGUUCUUGUUAUGUUGCAUUACCUGACAAUUUUCAGAAGGUAAAAUUUAAAUUCUUUGGUUUUCUGAAAGCAGUGUAUGUGCUUCUUCAUCAGAAGUAGACUUACAAAACCAAAUGUUGUCCAAUCACAAAAAUAAUAGCAGAUUUGAAUUAACACACCCCACCACCAUUAAUACAGCAAAUACCUUUAACUGGGAUGUAGUUGCCUAAAUAUAAUGAGGAUGGGUAGUCCCUAUAUUCUAUUUUUAGAAGAGUUUCCUCAAUACACAUCUAGCUUUCAUGCCAACUGUAAAUCAUCGUGUUAGCAAUUUGUGUGAAUGUUGAAGUGUGGCAGAAAACACAGUUUAACUUGUCUUUAGACUGCAGUAAUGGACAAAUAUACACUGAACUGUUUAUUUUUCAAUUUUUCCUUCUGUCUCACUACCACUUUGCUCCACUCACCGGAUGUGCUUUAUACAUGGUUUGUGUCAUAGGAAAUUCUUCAAAAGUCUUUAUUCUGGAUGGACACCUUAUCUGAUUCCCACCAGUUAAACAGCCAGGGAAAGACACACAGUUAUAAUAUCUGGGAAAGGACAUAAAGUAAAGGGUGAAUCAGAAAAGAUACUGGUGGAACAUACACAUUAAAUAAGGAAAUCUUCACUUUGUGCUCUUCAGGUCAGCAAUACUGGGAAAAAAGAGGGUAGCUGUUAACGGCUGUGCAGACACAUACUUCUGAGGAAUAAUGGGUAGAUGAAUUUCAUAAGGAAAGCAAAUAGAUCAAACUGUUUUAUAUCAGAAAGUUAAACAAUGCUUUCAUCUCCCCAUCUCCUGACUUGCAAAUAAAAGCAUCCCAUCUUGUAAGAGAGAGGAGAGGAAAGCGUAGUCUUUGCAACUGCAUAGCAUGGACAACGUCUCUUGACAAUGGAACCACAGCUUAAUGCCUGACUGCAGCACCGUGGUUAAUUCUGACAAACAGCGCAAGGUAUACCCAGAGGUUUCCCUGAACAGCUGCUAUAUGAAGGUUCCUACCUGGAGAAUCUGAGCAACGCUAUUCUUGUCUACUGAGCUAACUAUUCUAUUGUU